UGAGGAAUAUUGGACAAUGGGCGCAAGCCUGAUCCAGCCAUGCCGCGUGCAGGAUGACGGUCCUAUGGAUUGUAAACUGCUUCUGUACAGGAAGAAACAGUUCUACGUGUAGAACCUUGACGGUACUGUAAGAAUAAGGAUCGGCUAACUCCGUGCCAGCAGCCGCGGUAAUACGGAGGAUCCAAGCGUUAUCCGGAAUCAUUGGGUUUAAAGGGUCCGUAGGCGGUUAGAUAAGUCAGUGGUGAAAGCCCAUCGCUCAACGGUGGAACGGCCAUUGAUACUGUCUGACUUGAAUUAUUAGGAAGUAACUAGAAUAUGUAGUGUAGCGGUGAAAUGCUUAGAGAUUACAUGGAAUACCAAUUGCGAAGGCAGGUUACUACUAAUGGAUUGACGCUGAUGGACGAAAGCGUGGGUAGCGAACAGGAUUAGAUACCCAAGUAGUCCCUGAGCGGGCUGGCAAGGCGCAU
Molecule: ribosomal RNA, 467 nt
Filed under: uncultured bacterium
Lineage: Bacteria
Description: bacterial SSU rRNA
Rfam family: Bacterial small subunit ribosomal RNA
Source: RNAcentral